RNAcentral lists this ribosomal RNA (391 nucleotides) under uncultured bacterium. Its description in RNAcentral is "bacterial SSU rRNA". It matches the Rfam family "Bacterial small subunit ribosomal RNA", at positions 505 to 898 of the family's 1533-position model. The record is from RNAcentral.
GUGUCAGCAGCCGCGGUAAUACGGAGGAUCCGAGCGUUAUCCGGAAUCAUUGGGUUUAAAGGGUCCGUAGGCGGCUAUAUAAGUCAGUGGUGAAAGUUUUCGGCUUAACCGAAAAAUUGCCAUUGAUACUGUAGGGCUUGAAUAAUUUUGAAGUAACUAGAAUAUGUAGUGUAGCGGUGAAAUGCAUAGAUAUUACAUGGAAUACCAAUUGCGCAGGCAGGUUACUAAGAAUUGAUUGACGCUGAUGGACGAAAGCGUGGGUAGCGAACAGGAUUAGAUACCCUGGUAGUCCACGCCGUAAACGAUGGAUACUAGUUGUUCGGUUUUCGGACUGAGUGACUAAGCGAAAGUGAUAAGUAUCCCACCUGGGGAGUACGGUCGCAAGACUGAA